This 521-nucleotide long non-coding RNA is filed under the name Sorghum bicolor (sorghum). Its description in RNAcentral is "long non-coding RNA (SBIC_LNC011475)". The record is from RNAcentral. Lineage: Eukaryota; Viridiplantae; Streptophyta; Magnoliopsida; Poales; Poaceae.
GUCAACCUAGUCCCUAAACUUAGAAAUCUCCCAUAUAGGUCCUCAAACUUGUUCAGUCGUGUCAUCCCGGUCCCUAAACUUGUUUUUAAGUCAUCCAGAUCAAAGCAGGGCGAAUCUAAAAACUCUAUAUAGGAAAAUAAUUCAUAACUUUUUCAUAAUAUGAACUCAAAUGAAGAUAAACUUUAUAUCAAAUUUGUAGUAAGCAAUGCGAUCUACAACUUUGUAGUUGAAAGGUUUUUAAAUUGAAAUCUUUUGGGGUCCCAAAAUAUUUUUUUGAAAGUUUUUAGAUCUAGAAAUUUAAAAUUAAAAUUAAAUUUUGUGAUAUUAAACGACUUUAAAUAAAAAACAUUUCAACUAUAAAGUUGUAGAACACAUUAAGGGCUACAACUUUGAUAUAAAGUUUGUCUUCAUUCGAGUACAUAUGAAAAAGUUAUGAAUUAUUUUUAAUAUAGAGUUUUUAGAUCACUUUGUUUUGACCUAGAUGAGACUUAAAAUCAAGUUUAGGGACCUGGAUGACACAA